This 463-nucleotide ribosomal RNA is filed under the name uncultured bacterium. RNAcentral's name for it is "partial 16S ribosomal RNA". It matches the Rfam family "Bacterial small subunit ribosomal RNA", at positions 28 to 507 of the family's 1533-position model. The record is from RNAcentral.
GAUGAACGCUGACAGAAUGCUUAACACAUGCAAGUCUUUGGUGAAGCUGUGCUUGCACAGCCUAGCCAAGGCGGACGGGUGAGUAACGCGUAAGGAACUUGCCCUGCAGUCAGGGAUAACAGACGGAAACGACUGAUAAGACCUGGUAAAGUCAGGCGGACUCAUGUCCAGCCUGAUGAAAAGAGAUGCUGCAGGAGAGCCUUGCGUCCUAUUAGCUUGUUGGUGGGGUAACGGCCCACCAAGGCAAUGAUAGGUAGCCGGCCUGAGAGGGUGGACGGCCACAAGGGGACUGAGAUACGGCCCUUACUCCUACGGGAGGCAGCAGUGGGGAAUAUUGGACAAUGGGGGCAACACUGAUCCAGCAAUUCUGUGUGAACGAUGAAGGUUUUCGGAUUGUAAAGUGCUUUCAGCAGGGAAGAAAAAAAUGACGGUACCUGCAGAAGAAGCGACGGCUAAAUACGUG